This 837-nucleotide long non-coding RNA is filed under the name Physcomitrium patens. Its description in RNAcentral is "long non-coding RNA (PPAT_LNC006789)". Lineage: Eukaryota; Viridiplantae; Streptophyta; Bryopsida; Funariales; Funariaceae. The record is from RNAcentral.
AUUUUUUAGUUGGAUUAGAGUAAUAUUUUUUGAAUUGAUAGUGAUUUAAUUUGCAAUAUUUUUGAAAAUUUUGAUAGUAAGUAUACAGUGGAAUAAAGAGCUAUUAAUGCAAAUAGAUUGAUGUUGUCGUAAUACGUGAAGUCUUGCUUGAGAAUGCUCUGGGCACCUAGCUGUGAAAGGAAGAAUCGAAAUUGCAAUAACAAAAUCCUAAUUCUAAUAGUAUACUAACAAUUCUCUAAUUAAACCAUAAUAAUGAUAAGCAAUCUUAAUCAAAUUCAAAAAAACCUCAAGAAAUUUCAAACAAACAAUAAGAAUUAUUAAAGAAAUAUUAGAAGGAUCACAAAUAUCACUCAAAUACAUCUCAAUUCAAUCUUAAUUUAAUUCUAGUUAAAAUCCUAUUGAACUUCAUUCAAAAUUUAGGCCAAAUCAAAUUAAAUCUUAAAUCCUAAUAAAAUCCUAAACCCUAAAUCAAACCCUAAACAAAUCUUAAAUAAAAUCACAACUAAAUCUUAAAUCAAAUCCUAACCAAAUCCUAAAUCAAACCCUAAUCAAAUCCUAAUCCAAAUCCUAAACCCUAAACCAAAUCCGAAUCCAAAUCCUAAAUAAAAUCCUAACCAAACCCUAAUACAAAUCCUAAACCCUAAACCAAAUCCUAAUCAAAUCCUAAAUCCUAAAUCAAAUCCUAACCAAAUUCUAAAUCCUAAAUCAAAUCCUAAAUAAAUCUUAAACCAAACCCCAACCAAAUCUUAAACCAAAUAUUAAUCAAACCCUAAACCAAACCCUAAACCCUAAAUCCAACCCUAACCAAAUUCUAAUCCAAAUCCUAAAUCCUAAACC